Molecule: ribosomal RNA, 507 nt
Filed under: uncultured bacterium
Lineage: Bacteria
Description: partial 16S ribosomal RNA
Rfam family: Bacterial small subunit ribosomal RNA
Source: RNAcentral
GACGAACGCUGGCGGCGUGCCUAAUACAUGCAAGUCGAACGCAUUUUCUUUCACCGUAGCUUGCUACACCGAAAGAAAAUGAGUGGCGAACGGGUGAGUAACACGUGGGUAACCUGCCCAUCAGCGGGGGAUAACACUUGGAAACAGGUGCUAAUACCGCAUAAUUCCAUUUACCGCAUGGUAGAUGGAUGAAAGGCGCUUUUGCGUCACUGAUGGAUGGACCCGCGGUGCAUUAGCUAGUUGGUGGGGUAACGGCCUACCAAGGCUGCGAUGCAUAGCCGACCUGGGAGGGUGAUCGGCCACACUGGGACUGAGACACGGCCCAGACUCCUACGGGAGGCAGCAGUAGGGAAUCUUCGGCAAUGGACACAAGUCUGACCGAGCAACGCCGCGUGAGUGAAGAAGGUUGUCGGAUCGUAAAACUCUGUUGUUAGAGAAGAACAAGGAUGAGAGUGGAAAGUUCAUCCCUUGACGGUAGCUAAACAGAAAGCCACGGCUAACUACGUG